Molecule: non-coding RNA, 74 nt
Organism: Oesophagostomum dentatum (nodular worm)
Lineage: Eukaryota; Metazoa; Nematoda; Chromadorea; Rhabditida; Strongylidae
Source: Rfam
GCCGCCAUAGCUCAGUCGGUUAUAGCGUGGGUCUAAUAAGCCCAAGGUCGCAGGUUCGACCCCUGCUGGCGGCA